This is a non-coding RNA of Vicugna pacos (alpaca), 1022 nucleotides long. The record is from RefSeq and is a predicted model, not a curated record. Lineage: Eukaryota; Metazoa; Chordata; Mammalia; Artiodactyla; Camelidae.
AACAUGGGAUAAGUGGAAUGAGACAGGGGCAUUUGUACGUGAUGUGAUCAUUGCUUUGUUAGUGCAGGCUCAGUGACACGCCGGGAAUGCACUGAAGUUAGGGGGGAUUUUACUCAAUAUAAAGGAAGAUUAGGUGCCAUCUACUGGUGAAGAAACUGAAAACUUUUCCAUUUUUCCAACAAAACUUUGUAUCUUUUCAGACAAUGCAGUGUCCUGGUUGUUGGAUAUACAACUCAUCAUCCUGUAGUCAUGGCGUACAAUAAGAAAACUAUUCUCAACUCUCAUGUCAAGUGGGCUAACGUAAUACACUCCUGGUUACUAUUCAUCAAGUGCAACAAUUCUGUGUGGCCAAAUAAUACAAUGGAAAACAACGUUCAAAAACAAAUAUUCACACCCGCAAUACUCUCUCCACUGCAAAUCUCACCACGGCAUCCACCUCAACCUCAAGUUAAUCGAAUGAUAGCAACUGAAGUACAUCCUUAGAUACCAUUUUCUGUCUCAUACAGCUUUAUUUGUACAUAUGCUUUUUUCCUUUUUCUUUUUUUUUGUACACCAAUGGUUUGAAAUACACACAUUACAAUGCAAUUUGUUAAUUUCACAAUAUGACUGUCACUCAAACCCAAUUAUACAGCAGUAAUUCAUUAUUUUUACUAGUAUGGAUAUACCACAAAUUUUCCAUUAUUUCCAUUUUAAUGGAAUUGAUAUUUUUGCCCAAACAAUGCUGCAGUUAAUAUCCUUUUAGAAAUAUCUUCAUAUUCUGGUGCCUUUAUUUACUCAGGAGAGACUCCAGAAAGAACACAUGUUUUGUCAUUUUAAUGUAUAUUACUGCAUUUCUUUCCCCAAAUGUAACUCAAAUUCCUAACAGCAAUGUAUGACAAGUUCCAUUCUCCCAUGUCCUUGUCAACACUGGAUAUUAUUCAUCUCUUUAAUAUUUUCCCAAAUAUUUUCCCCCCAAAAUGGUAUCUCCUUAUUUUAAUAUGCAUUUCCCUGAUUACCAGUAAGGUGGAAUGUCUUUUCAUAUA